CCCUUAGAUGUUCUGGGCCGCACGCGCGCUACACUGAUGCACUCAACGAGUCUCCACCUUGACCGAAAGGUCCGGGAAACCUUCGAACUUGCAUCGUGAUGGGGAUAGAUUAUUGCAACUAUUAAUCUUCAACGAGGAAUGCCUAGUAAGCGCAAGUCAUCAGCUUGCGUUGAUUACGUCCCUGCCCUUUGUACACACCGCCCGUCGCUCCUACCGAUUGAAUGGUCCGGUGAAGCGUUCGGACCGUGGCCUUUGGACGGUUCGCCGUCUGUUGGCUGCGGGAAGUUCGUUAAACCUUAUCAUUUAGAGGAAGGAGAANUCGUANCA
This 327-nucleotide ribosomal RNA is filed under the name uncultured eukaryote. RNAcentral's name for it is "partial 18S ribosomal RNA". It matches the Rfam family "Eukaryotic small subunit ribosomal RNA", at positions 1470 to 1796 of the family's 1831-position model. The record is from RNAcentral.